GUGGUGGUGUCCAUGCUGAACACGGCUCCCUUACCUGUCAAGAGCAUCGUGCUGCAGGCUGCAGUGCCCAAGUCAAUGAAAGUGAAGUUGCAGCCACCUUCUGGGACAGAACUCUCUCCAUUUAGCCCCAUCCAGCCACCUGCAGCCAUCACCCAGGUCAUGUUGCUGGCCAAUCCACUGAAGGUGAGCAGCAAAGAACCCAGGGGUCCCAGCCUGAGGCCCCAGCUGCCCCAGAUUAGGACCUCAGGACCACCACCUCCCAGCUGGAAGUGUUUUGACUGUAGGAUUGACACAUCGCUUUGCUGCCUUAGGUUAAGCAUCUGAGCAUGGUUGGGGUUGCGGGGAAAAGGGACCAUUCCUCUAGCACAGAGAGGGUAGCAGAAUAGAGGGCGUCCUGCCGAGGGGCCGCCCGGGCUGGAUCUCACUUGCUGCCCUCUGUCACAGGAGAAGGUGCGGCUUCGGUAUAAGCUGACCUUC
Molecule: small RNA, 477 nt
Filed under: Pongo abelii (Sumatran orangutan)
Lineage: Eukaryota; Metazoa; Chordata; Mammalia; Primates; Hominidae
Description: retained intron
Source: RNAcentral